Long non-coding RNA from Brienomyrus brachyistius, 752 nucleotides. RefSeq lists it as uncharacterized. The transcript is spliced from 3 exons. The record is from RefSeq and is a predicted model, not a curated record. NCBI's taxonomy places the organism in Eukaryota, Metazoa, Chordata, Actinopteri, Osteoglossiformes, Mormyridae.
CCUUCAGUUCACCCACCUCCAGUACAAGUCUCACCAUAAGUUACUUAACGUCUCAAAGCAUAAAGUUGCGCAUUUGUAGACCCAUUUCCCGAUUAUCCGUCUCCCUGGUCCUGCUUCCCCGGAUGCGAUCACAACACUCAUUGAGUCAUCGUGUGACUGAUGGAUGGAAUCAAUACAAAUCACAAAGCUUGGUAUUCAUCAGUGGUUCUCCGUGGUCUCCCUAAGACACUCGGCCAGGUAGGCAAAUUUACAAGCACCAGCGUAGGAACCAUCAUACCUGCCUAGAAAAUUCGAAAAUGGUGAAUAACCAGUAAAACCAAGUGACUCCAGAUCAAGACCAAGUCCACAAGCAUGCAGAGUUUUCCAUAAAAGGGAGAAAUGACACGACCUUCUGAUACCUCAUCCCCCUGUCCGACACCUCAAAAGAGAGGGUCUAUUAGUCAACAUGUUCCCCUGUUCAUCACAGGAUGUAUUUGUCUUGUAUUUUCUCUUUUUUCUAGCGAGAAAUGCCUUGUCUGUCAUAUUAUGUAACACAGUUUUUGUAAUAGAUAUGAAACAUCUCCAGAAAGCUGAAACAGACGGUUUUUGGGAGAUUCUAGUUUAAUACAUUUAUGAAGCUUUAUAAAAGAAAUGAACAUUGUGGACGGAUGGUACACGGGUUUAUAUAUGUGCUCCCCCCCCACAGUAGUGUUGUUAUUCUUUUAAAGGGAAAAAGUGUGAAAUGAGAAAAAGGGACCUAUAAAAAUUUUGCG